UACAGAGGGGGCAAGCGUUGUUCGGAAUUACUGGGCGUAAAGGGCGCGUAGGCGGCCGACUCAGUCGCACGUGAAAUCCCCGGGCUCAACCCGGGAACUGCGUUCGAUACUGGUCGGCUUGAAUUCGGGAGAGGGAUGCGGAAUUCCAGGUGUAGCGGUGAAAUGCGUAGAUAUCUGGAGGAACACCGGUGGCGAAGGCGGCAUCCUGGACCGGCAUUGACGCUGAGGCGCGAAAGCCAGGGGAGCAAACGGG
RNAcentral lists this ribosomal RNA (253 nucleotides) under uncultured bacterium. RNAcentral describes it as "partial 16S ribosomal RNA". It matches the Rfam family "Bacterial small subunit ribosomal RNA", at positions 524 to 776 of the family's 1533-position model. The record is from RNAcentral.